ACAGCAGCCGGUCCUUGGAGUUCCAGCUGUGAAGUCAGGGAGCCUUCCGGCUCCCAGGUUGCUGCUGCUUUUAUGGAGGCUGGAGUGCCCUGGCUGUUUGUCACAUCACCUGGCUCCACUUUCUCAGCAAUGAAAUGGACCGGGGUACGACCCACAGUCUGUCUUCAGGCACCCAGAUGUGACUGUCUGCAAAGUUAUGGCCCAGUGGGGUGACAAUGAUGAAAGACAGCCAUCCUGGAGGAACUCACAGCCUAAGGAAAGCGCAAGGACCGGAAAAGCUCUUUAACUAAUAACAAUGUCGCCUGGGCCAGUUGUUUUAGCUACCAGCAAGGAUGUCUCCAAGGUGGUAAAACCGAGGUAUGGGUGGUGCUGGUGCCGCAAGGCAGCCUCUGCUUCAUCUAUACAAAAUGCCUGGAGCCGUGAGUACACUCAUGCAACACAACGCCUGUUUAAAAUGUUUCACUUGUGUAAGUAAAAGUCUGACUUUUUAAAUUAAA
This is a long non-coding RNA of Mesocricetus auratus (golden hamster), 497 nucleotides long. RefSeq lists it as uncharacterized. NCBI's taxonomy places the organism in Eukaryota, Metazoa, Chordata, Mammalia, Rodentia, Cricetidae. The transcript is spliced from 2 exons. The record is from RefSeq and is a predicted model, not a curated record.